This 30-nucleotide non-coding RNA is filed under the name Mus musculus (house mouse). The record is from RNAcentral. Lineage: Eukaryota; Metazoa; Chordata; Mammalia; Rodentia; Muridae.
UGAGUUUGAUUAACUCUGCUUUUUCCUAAG